UUGUUUGCGGGUGUAGCAUCAUCAAGAUUCACAUGCAAAUGCACGGUUGGUGAUGAUUAUAUGUAUGUGCUAAUGAAUCAAUCUCUUUCUCUUGAUGAUCAUGAGCCAGAGUUUGUUUUUUGAAAGUGAGAAUCUUGAUGAUGCUGCAUCAGCAAUAAA
Ricinus communis (castor bean) is the source of this 159-nucleotide non-coding RNA. The record is from Rfam. NCBI's taxonomy places the organism in Eukaryota, Viridiplantae, Streptophyta, Magnoliopsida, Malpighiales, Euphorbiaceae.